CUUUCAUGUGCAAGUUCAGAUAUUUCUCUGAUUCUCAGGCUCGUCCGCUGUCUCCUUGCUCCUGUUCUUGCUUCCUCUCUCCUUCUGCUACUUUUCGCCACAACCCAUCUCAAAGAAAAUGCGAGCCACGUCAUCCCAAUCGGAGCUCUCCUUCGGGUUCUCUCGUCACAGAGAGAUCCCUGUCUCGAUGGCUGCUCCUCCUCCUCCUUCUCGCUUCAUCAAGAACCAUGGAGUCCUCGCGUUGAAACCCAGUUUCGCUCGAGGCGUCAGCGUCAGCGUCAGCGUCAGCGUCAGCGUGAAUCUGCUCAAGUGUCGGUGUAGCAGGGGCGUGAGUGAGAAGCCCGCCGGGGGUGGUGGUGGUGGUGGUGGUGGUGGGGAAGUGUUCUACGCGACAUCGUCGAGCAAGUGCGACAUUGAUUACCUCGGGGAGAGCACUAAGGGCGAUUUGAACGUGAAAAUGGAGCACCUUGAGGCUUUUGGAAUUGAUGGUCAGAUCACAUUAGAAGGCCCAAUUGAGGAAGUGGCCAAAAUGGAAGCUGAUGAAGCUGAGGAUCUUUUAAGAAAAUUGGAUAUUCCUAGUCCUUUUUCGUGUAGAUAUUCUCCUCGUGGAAUAUUCUGUAGCCGUACAUUGAAUCUUCGAUCCAUAAGUGCCAUUGGCUACGACAUGGACUACACUUUGAUGCACUACAAUGUGAUGGCAUGGGAAGGGCGUGCUUACGAUUACUGCAUGGAGAAUUUGAAGAACAUGGGUUUUCCUGUUGAUGGACUAUCUUUUGACCCGGACUUGGUUAUCAGAGGUCUGGUCAUAGACAAAGAACGUGGUAAUUUGGUUAAGGCCGAUCGGUUUGGUUAUGUGAAGAGGGCCAUGCAUGGCACACGGAUGUUAUCUACCCGAGCUGUGAGUGAGAUUUACGGGAGGGAACUGGUGGAUUUGCGGAAAGAAAGUCAAUGGGAGUUCCUUAAUACGCUUUUCUCCGUCUCAGAAGCUGUGGCUUUUAUGCAAAUGGUUGAUAGAUUGGAUGAUGGAUCUAUAGCAGCAGAAGUUGGUCCGCUCGACUAUAAAGGGCUUUACAAGGCUGUUGGAAAGGCUCUCUUCAGGGCUCACGUGGAAGGUCAGCUGAAGAGUGAGAUAAUGUCUAAGCCUGAACUGUUUGUGGAGCCUGAUCCGGAACUACCUCUAGCCCUGUUGGAUCAGAAGGAGGCGGGUAAAAAACUUCUGCUUAUCACCAACUCAGAUUAUCAUUACACAGACAAAAUGAUGAAGCAUUCCUUUAACAGAUUUCUCCCUAAUGAUAUGGACUGGCGUGAUCUAUUCGACAUUGUUAUUGUAUCAGCAAAAAAGCCUGAAUUUUUCCAGAUGUCGCAUCCAAUGUACGAAGUGGUCACUGGUGAGGGUCUGAUGCGUCCUUGUUUCAAGGCUUGUACAGGGGGCUUGUAUUCCGGGGGAAGUGCUCAAAUGGUAGAGAAUUCUCUCAAUAUACACGGUGAUGAAAUAUUAUACGUGGGUGACCAUAUAUACACAGAUGUCAGUCAGUCCAAACUUCAUUUACGAUGGAGAACGGCAUUAAUCUGUCGAGAAUUGGAGGAGGAGUACAGCGCUUUAAUUCGAAGCCGAGAUCACAGAGCCACUUUGAUAGAUCUCAUAAACCAAAAAGAGGUUGUCGGGGAUCUCUUUAACCAGCUGCGGCUCGCUUCACAGAGGCGAAAUAAAGGGCGUCCAGCACAGACACUAGCUGCGACAGGCAUGGACGAUCAGGAACUCACUGAAAGCAUGCAGAAGUUGCUGAUUGUCAUGCAAAGACUAGACAAAAAAAUAGCACCACUGUUAGAAACAGAUGGCGAGCUGUUCAAUAGAAGGUGGGGCUUUCUGUCGCGAGCGGGUCUAUGGGAUAAAAGCCACUUGAUGAGACAAAUUGAGAAGUACUUCUUUUUUCCCCUUUAAAAUGCAUUCUUAAUCCACAAUCAAAUAUAGGAGCAAUGAGGAGUCUCAUGGAUGUUCGUUUGGCUCAACAUUAACAAAUGCAGUCGCUCGCACACGACUCUUAUUCGCAGAAACAUUGGCCGAUCAAUGGGCUCUCGACUGAUAACUGAGAUCGAACGUGUUUUUGUAGCAUUGUGAUGAAGUCCGGAUCCAUGAUGACUUUAUCAUCCGCAGCCAGAGUAUCCUCUUAAAGUCAGGGGAGACUCUGAACUGCGGUGCAGAGGAGCAGAGGGGUGUGUAUGUGCUUAAAAAUAGCUGUAAUUGGUGUGAAUAAUGUACCUUGUGCGUUACAGAUAAAGGGUGACAAUUGCCUCCUGUUGUGCAACUUUGACCGUCUUCAUUAAGGG
Rhodamnia argentea is the source of this 2328-nucleotide RNA transcript. It is a transcript of the gene named 5'-nucleotidase domain-containing protein 4, with no coding region annotated. The record is from RefSeq and is a predicted model, not a curated record. Lineage: Eukaryota; Viridiplantae; Streptophyta; Magnoliopsida; Myrtales; Myrtaceae. The transcript has 16 exons.